GACCUAGUAAUAGGUAUGCUUAAAGAGGAGCUUGCGUCACAUUAGUUAGUUGGUAGGGUAAAAGCCUACCAAGACUAUGAUGUGUAGCCGGGCUGAGAGGUCAAACGGCCACAUUGGGACUGAGACACGGCCCAAACUCCUACGGGAGGCAGCAGUAAGGAAUUUUCGGCAAUGGAGGAAACUCUGACCGAGCAACGCCGCGUGAACGAUGAAGUAUUUCGGUACGUAAAGUUCUUUUAUUAGGGAAGAAAAGAUGGUGGAAAAACCAUUAUGACGGUACCUAAUGAAUAAGCCCCGGCUAACUAUGUGCCAGCAGCCGCGGUAAUACAUAGGGGGCAAGCGUUAUCCGGAAUUAUUGGGCGUAAAGGGUGCGUAGGCGGUUAAAUAAGUUUAUGGUCUAAGUGCAAUGCUCAACGUUGUGAUGCUAUAAAAACUGUUUAGCUAGAGUUGGAUAGAGGCAAGUGGAAUUCCAUGUGUAGUGGUAAAAUGCGUAAAUAUAUGGAGGAACACCAGGAGCGAAGGCGGCUUGCUGGGUCUUAACUGACGCUGAGGCACGAAAGCGUGGGGAGCAAACAGGAUUAGAUACCCUGGUAGUCCACGCCCUAAACGAUGAGUACUAAACGUUGGGUAAAACCAGUGUUGAAGUUAACACAUUAAGUACUCCGCCUGAGUAGUACGUACGCAAGUAUGAAACUUAAAGGAAUUGACGGGACUCCGCACAAGCGGUGGAUCAUGUUGUUUAAUUCGAAGGUACCCGAAAAACCUCACCAGGUCUUGACAUGCUUUUGCAAAGCUGUAGAAAUACAGUGGAGGUUAUCAAUUGCACAGGUGGUGCAUGGUUGUCGUCAGCUCGUGUCGUGAGAUGUUGGGUUAAGUCCCGCAACGAGCGCAACCCUUGUUGUUAAUUGCCAGCAUGUAAUGAUGGGGACUUUAGCAAGACUGCCAGUGAUAAAUUGGAGGAAGGUGGGGACGACGUCAAAUCAUCAUGCCCCUUAUGACCUGGGCUACAAACGUGAUACAAUGGCUGUUACAAAGGGUAGCUAAAGCGCAAGCUUCUGGCGAAUCUCAAAAAAGCAGUCUCAGUUCGGAUUGAAGUCUGCAACUCGACUUCAUGAAGUUGGAAUCGCUAGUAAUCGCGAAUCAGCAUGUCGCGGUGAAUACGUUC
This 1165-nucleotide ribosomal RNA is filed under the name Candidatus Phytoplasma fragariae. RNAcentral describes it as "bacterial SSU rRNA". It matches the Rfam family "Bacterial small subunit ribosomal RNA", at positions 200 to 1373 of the family's 1533-position model. Lineage: Bacteria; Bacillati; Mycoplasmatota; Mollicutes; Acholeplasmatales; Acholeplasmataceae. The record is from RNAcentral.